RNAcentral lists this ribosomal RNA (479 nucleotides) under uncultured bacterium. RNAcentral describes it as "partial 16S ribosomal RNA". It matches the Rfam family "Bacterial small subunit ribosomal RNA", at positions 28 to 523 of the family's 1533-position model. The record is from RNAcentral.
GACGAACGCUGGCGGCGUGCUUAACACAUGCAAGUCGAGCGAUGAAGCACCUUCGGGUGUGAAUUAGCGGCGAACGGGUGAGGAACACGUGAGAAAUCUGCCUUCAACACUGGGAUAACUCCGGGAAACCGGGGCUAAUACCGGAUAUGAAACCUGCGGGCAUCCGCGGGUUUGGAAAGUUUUUCGGUUGAAGAUGAUCUCGCGGCCUAUCAGCUUGUUGGUGAGGUAAUGGCUCACCAAGGCGACGACGGGUAGCCGGCCUGAGAGGGCGACCGGCCACACUGGGACUGGGACACGGCCCAGACUCCUACGGGAGGCAGCAGUGGGGAAUAUUGGGCAAUGGAGGAAACUCUGACCCAGCGGCGCCGCGUGCGGGAUGAAGGCCUUCGGGUUGUAAACCGCUUUCAGCAGGGAAGAAGCGAAAGUGACGGUACCUGCAGAAGAAGCACCGGCUAACUAUGUGCCAGCCGCCGCAGUAA